AUGAACGCUGGCGGCGUGUCUAAGGCAUGCAAGUCGAGUGGGUUUAGACCCACGGCAAACGGGUGCGUAACACAUUGGUAAUCUGCCCCUGACUCAGGCAUAAUCCAUCGAAAGGUGGAAUAAUUCCUGAUAGACACGAGGGGACAUAAGUCAUUCUCGUGUAAAGUUUUUUCGGUUGGGGAGGAGCCUAUGGCCCAUCAGCUAGUUGGUAGGGUAAAAGCCUACCAAGGCUAUGACGGGUAGCGGGUGUGAGAGCAUGACCCGCCUCACUGGGACUGAGACACUGCCCAGACUCCUACGGGAGGCUGCAGUCAAGAAUAUUCCGCAAUGGCCGAAAGGCUGACGGAGCGACGCCGCGUGCAGGAAGACGCCCUUCGGGGUGUAAACUGCUUUUCUAUGGGAGGAAUUCGUGACGUUACCAUAGGAAUAAGCCACUGCUAACCUCGU
This 447-nucleotide ribosomal RNA is filed under the name uncultured bacterium. RNAcentral describes it as "bacterial SSU rRNA". It matches the Rfam family "Bacterial small subunit ribosomal RNA", at positions 29 to 506 of the family's 1533-position model. The record is from RNAcentral.